Molecule: ribosomal RNA, 472 nt
Filed under: uncultured bacterium
Lineage: Bacteria
Description: bacterial SSU rRNA
Rfam family: Bacterial small subunit ribosomal RNA
Source: RNAcentral
GAAUCUUCCACAAUGGGCGAAAGCCUGAUGGAGCGACACUGCGUGAGGGAUGAGGCCUUCGGGUCGUAAACCUCUAAAACGGGGACGAACCAUGACGGUACCCGUUGAGAAGCACCGGCUAACUCCGUGCCAGCAGCCGCGGUAAUACGGAGGGUGCAAGCGUUAUCCGGAAUCACUGGGCGUAAAGGGCGCGUGGGCGGUCCAUUAAGUCCGAUGUUAAAGACCGGGGCUCAACCCCGGCACGGCGUUGGAUACUGUUGGGCUGGACGGCKGGAGAGGCGAGUGGAAUUACCAGUGUAGCGGUGGAAUGCGUAGAUACUGGUARGAACACCCAUGGCGAAGGCAGCUCGCUGGACAGCACGUGACGCUGAGGCGMGAAAGUGUGGGGAGCAAACCGGAUUAGAUACCCGGGUAGUCCACACCCUAAACGAUGCAUACUUGGUGUUGGCCCGUUGGGUCAGCGCCGGAGCUA